GGGCCCGUAGUCUAGUGGCUAUGACGCUGCCUCGACACGGCAGAGGUCCCCGGUUCGAGUCCGGGCGGGCCCA
Molecule: transfer RNA, 73 nt
Filed under: Candidatus Woesearchaeota archaeon
Lineage: Archaea; Nanobdellati; Candidatus Woesearchaeota
Description: tRNA-Val
Rfam family: tRNA
About the family: Transfer RNA (tRNA) molecules are approximately 80 nucleotides in length.
Source: RNAcentral